AUACCGAGGGUGCAAGCGUUAAUCGGAUUUACUGGGCGUAAAGCGCGCGUAGGCGGCUAAUUAAGUCAAAUGUGAAAUCCCCGAGCUUAACUUGGGAAUUGCAUUCGAUACUGGUUAGCUAGAGUGUGGGAGAGGAUGGUAGAAUUCCAGGUGUAGCGGUGAAAUGCGUAGAGAUCUGGAGGAAUACCGAUGGCGAAGGCAGCCAUCUGGCCUAACACUGACGCUGAGGUGCGAAAGCAUGGGGAGCAAACAGGAUUAGAGACCCCCGUAGUCC
Molecule: ribosomal RNA, 274 nt
Filed under: uncultured bacterium
Lineage: Bacteria
Description: partial 16S ribosomal RNA
Rfam family: Bacterial small subunit ribosomal RNA
Source: RNAcentral